CCAAUAGCGUAUAUUAAAGUUGUUGCAGUUAAAAAGCUCGUAGUUGAAUUUCGGAAUCAGUACGCCGGUCGUGCCUCCGGUAUGUACUGGUGUCACUGGUUCCUCCCUUCUGAAGAACCAUCAUGCCAUUCACUUGGUGUGGUGGGGAAUCAGGACUGUUANNNUGAAAAAAUUAGAGUGUUUAAAGCAGGCUCACGCUUGAAUAUAUUAGAAUGGAAUAAUGAAAUAGGACGUUGAUCUUAUUUUGUUGGUUUCUAGGAUUGACGUAAUGAUUAAUAGGGAUAGUUGAGGGCAUUAGUAUUCAAUUGUCAGAGGUGAAAUUCUUGGAUUUAUUGAAGACUAACUACUGCGAAAGAAUUUGCCAAGGAUGUUUUCAUUAAUCAAGAACGAAAGUUAGGGGAUCGAAGACGAUCAGAUACCGUCGUAGUCUUAACCAUAAACUAUGCCGACUAGGGAUCGGAUGAUGUUAAUUUUUUAAUGACUCAUUCGGCGCCUUACG
RNAcentral lists this ribosomal RNA (499 nucleotides) under uncultured Glomeromycotina. Its description in RNAcentral is "partial small subunit ribosomal RNA". It matches the Rfam family "Eukaryotic small subunit ribosomal RNA", at positions 591 to 1092 of the family's 1831-position model. Lineage: Eukaryota; Fungi; Glomeromycota. The record is from RNAcentral.